CCUACGGGAGGCAGCAGUGGGGAAUAUUGGACAGUGGGCCACAAGCCUGAUCCAGCAAUUCUGUGUGCACGAUGAAGGUUUUCGGAUCGUAAAGUGCUUUCAGCAGGGAAGAAAAAAAUGACGGUACCUGCAGAAGAAGCGACGGCUAAAUACGUGCCAGCAGCCGCGGUAAU
This 173-nucleotide ribosomal RNA is filed under the name uncultured bacterium. RNAcentral describes it as "partial 16S ribosomal RNA". It matches the Rfam family "Bacterial small subunit ribosomal RNA", at positions 338 to 524 of the family's 1533-position model. The record is from RNAcentral.